AGCAGCCGCGGUAAUUCCAGCUCCAAUAGCGUAUAUUAAAGUUGUUGCGGUUAAAAAGCUCGUAGUUGAAUUUCGGGAUUAGUAAGUUGGUCGUGCCUCUGGUAUGUACUGGCUUUACUGGUUCCUCCUUCUUGAAGAACUGUAAUGUCAUUAAUUUGGUGUUGCAGGGAAACAGGACUGUUACUUUGAAAAAAUUAGAGUGUUUAAAGCAGGCUAACGCUUGAAUACAUUAGCAUGGAAUAAUGAAAUAGGACGUUUGAUCCUAUUUUGUUGGUUUCUAGGAUUGACGUAAUGAUUAAUAGGGAUAGUUGGGGGCAUUAGUAUUCAAUUGUCAGAGGUGAAAUUCUUGGAUUUAUUGAAGACUAACUACUGCGAAAGCAUUUGCCAAGGAUGUUUUCAUUAAUCAAGAACGAAAGUUAGGGGAUCGAAGACGAUCAGAUACCGUCGUAGUCUUAACCAUAAACUAUGCCGACUAGGGAUCGGAUGAUGUUAAUUUUUUAAUGACUCAUUCGGCGCCUUA
Molecule: ribosomal RNA, 520 nt
Filed under: uncultured Glomeromycotina
Lineage: Eukaryota; Fungi; Glomeromycota
Description: SSU rRNA
Rfam family: Eukaryotic small subunit ribosomal RNA
Source: RNAcentral